AUUGUACUCCCUCCGUCCGAAAAUACUUGUCGGAGGAAUGGAUAUAUGUAGACGUAUUUUAAUUCUAGAUACAUCUAUUUUUAUGCAUUUCUCCGACAAGUAUUUCUGACGGAGGGAGUAUUUG
This is a non-coding RNA of Triticum aestivum (bread wheat), 124 nucleotides long. NCBI's taxonomy places the organism in Eukaryota, Viridiplantae, Streptophyta, Magnoliopsida, Poales, Poaceae. The record is from Rfam.